Molecule: ribosomal RNA, 86 nt
Filed under: Pseudomonas putida
Lineage: Bacteria; Pseudomonadati; Pseudomonadota; Gammaproteobacteria; Pseudomonadales; Pseudomonadaceae
Also listed under: 12 other names
Description: partial 16S ribosomal RNA
Rfam family: Bacterial small subunit ribosomal RNA
Source: RNAcentral
GGACGGUUACCACGGUGUGAUUCAUGACUGGGGUGAAGUCGUAACAAGGUAGCCGUAGGGGAACCUGCGGCUGGAUCACCUCCUUA